RNAcentral lists this non-coding RNA (32 nucleotides) under Mus musculus (house mouse). Lineage: Eukaryota; Metazoa; Chordata; Mammalia; Rodentia; Muridae. The record is from RNAcentral.
UCCACGCGGUGAAAGGACCAUGGGCUCCAGGC